AACAAUCUAAGUUAUUUUAAGACUAUCUGUCUUCAAAACAGAAAGAGGUUUUACCGUUUGUUG
RNAcentral lists this transfer RNA (63 nucleotides) under Carassotrema koreanum. Its description in RNAcentral is "tRNA-Trp". Lineage: Eukaryota; Metazoa; Platyhelminthes; Trematoda; Plagiorchiida; Haploporidae. The record is from RNAcentral.